Long non-coding RNA from Gymnodraco acuticeps, 1135 nucleotides. RefSeq lists it as uncharacterized. NCBI's taxonomy places the organism in Eukaryota, Metazoa, Chordata, Actinopteri, Perciformes, Bathydraconidae. The record is from RefSeq and is a predicted model, not a curated record. The transcript has 2 exons.
CGUCUUUUAUUUUGAAGUCCAAGCUCACGUCUCGUUAUGCUGUUCUCGCGUGAGUUAGAGAGCGAGAACAUGAGAAGCACCCUCAGAGUAAGAUGCACGGAUACUUACAGCUCCGUUAGUUUUGUAUUCUUAUACAUAUAAGUUAUGAAGAGAACUGAAGAAUACUUCCCUCUGUUUACAGAGCAUGCAGCCCAACGAGUUUUCACGGUGGAUUCGGAGGAAUAAACCCGUAAUGAGAAAGCCACUUGUGUCUGCCUGUGUUUCGAGGGAAUUACAGAGUGGUUGGACCCAAAUGCAGAGCCGGUUUAGUAGACAACGAAAAAAUUAAACAAUUAAUUAUAUUUAGGAAUAGUGCUUUGUAAUAACUCUCAGUACCAGAUUAAUUACAUUAUUGACAAUCCCAGGUAACUUACAGCCUGUCCUAUUACAAUACUAAUAUUAAAAAGUCACUAAAUUGGUAUUUUGUUGGAACAUGUUUGAGGAACAUUAUUCAGUUUUUCUCUCUCAAGUUUACCUGGUGCUACAUUUUGGAUUACAAAUCCUUACAUUGCCAAGAAAUAGGAUUGGAGCGGAAUACCCUUCAUUUAUGAAUGAUUCCUGCAAUGUGUUCUGAUCUGAUCACAGGAAUGGACAAAUACCAAGGCCGCCAAAUGAAAGGCCUGAUCGAGGGUCGUCAAUUGUGAUUCUGUGACAUGAUUUGAAAACAUUUAUUUAAAUAUUACUGAAUUGUAAUUAUUGUUCAUUAUCAAGCCCUAAUUAAAAAAUCUGCAACCAACAUUCUAACCAAGUAAAGCGUAGAAACCUAAUGACGCUUUGAGUGCAUGUUGAACUUAAAAUGAAAAGCCUAUUACUUCAGUAAACCCUUCCUGAGGUUAACGUAGUGAUUUCUGCUUCUUCUACAGGUUUGCUGUAAUCACCAGCAUCCCGGAAGGUGAAACUGUUGAGUUCCAUGAUGACAACGGGAUGGACGGCCGCUAUGUUUACAUAGGUGUCCCCGGAAGAAGGGAGUACCUGACCCUCUGUGAGGUGGAGGUGUUUGGCUCUGCACUGGAUUAGCAUUCAAUGUAAUGGAUUUGUAAACAUGCUGUAAUGUGUACACAAAGCAUCCAAAAUAAAAUGUGCAUCUUAAAUAUCA